This 253-nucleotide ribosomal RNA is filed under the name uncultured bacterium. RNAcentral describes it as "partial 16S ribosomal RNA". It matches the Rfam family "Bacterial small subunit ribosomal RNA", at positions 524 to 776 of the family's 1533-position model. The record is from RNAcentral.
UACAGAGGUCCCAAGCGUUGUUCGGAUUCAUUGGGCGUAAAGGGUGCGUAGGUGGCGCCGUAAGUGGGGUGUGAAAUUUCGGAGCUUAACUCCGAAACUGCAUUCCAUACUGCGGUGCUUGAGGACUGGAGAGGAGACUGGAAUUUACGGUGUAGCAGUGAAAUGCGUAGAUAUCGGGAGGAACACCAGUGGCGAAGGCGGCUACCUGGGCCAGUUCUGACGCUGAGGCGCGAAAGCGUGGGGAUCAAACAGG